Molecule: ribosomal RNA, 1396 nt
Filed under: uncultured Bacteroidales bacterium
Lineage: Bacteria; Pseudomonadati; Bacteroidota; Bacteroidia; Bacteroidales
Description: 16S ribosomal RNA
Rfam family: Bacterial small subunit ribosomal RNA
Source: RNAcentral
AGAGUUUGAUCAUGGCUCAGGAUGAACGCUAGCUACAGGCUUAACACAUGCAAGUCGAGGGGCAGCAUGGUCUUAGCUUGCUAAGACUGAUGGCGACCGGCGCACGGGUGAGUAACACGUAUCCAACCUGCCUUAUACUCCCGGACAGCCUUCUGAAAGGAAGAUUAAUACGGGAUGGUAUCACGAGCCAGCAUUUUCUCGUGAUUAAAGAACUUCGGUAUAAGAUGGGGAUGCGUUCCAUUAGAUAGUAGGCGGGGUAACGGCCCACCUAGUCUACGAUGGAUAGGGGUUCUGAGAGGAAGGUCCCCCACAUUGGAACUGAGACACGGUCCAAACUCCUACGGGAGGCAGCAGUGAGGAAUAUUGGUCAAUGGGCGCGAGCCUGAACCAGCCAAGUAGCGUGAAGGAUGACUGCCCUACGGGUUGUAAACUUCUUUUAUAAAGGAAUAAAGUGAGGCACGUGUGUCUUUUUGUAUGUACUUUAUGAAUAAGGAUCGGCUAACUCCGUGCCAGCAGCCGCGGUAAUACGGAGGAUCCGAGCGUUAUCCGGAUUUAUUGGGUUUAAAGGGAGCGUAGAUGGGUUGUUAAGUCAGUUGUGAAAGUUUGCGGCUCAACCGUAAAAUUGCAAUUGAUACUGGCAGCCUUGAGUACAGUUGAGGUAGGCGGAAUUCGUGGUGUAGCGGUGAAAUGCUUAGAUAUCACGAAGAACUCCGAUUGCGAAGGCAGCCUACUAAACUGCCACUGACAUUGAUGCUCGAAAGUGUGGGUAUCAAACAGGAUUAGAUACCCUGGUAGUCCACACGGUAAACGAUGAAUACUCGCUGUUUGCGAUAUACUGCAAGCGGCCAAGCGAAAGCGUUAAGUAUUCCACCUGGGGAGUACGCCGGCAACGGUGAAACUCAAAGGAAUUGACGGGGGCCCGCACAAGCGGAGGAACAUGUGGUUUAAUUCGAUGAUACGCGAGGAACCUUACCCGGGCUUGAAUUGCACUCGGAUAUAGCGGAAACGUUAUAGCUAGCAAUAGCGAGUGUGAAGGUGCUGCAUGGUUGUCGUCAGCUCGUGCCGUGAGGUGUCGGCUUAAGUGCCAUAACGAGCGCAACCCUUGUCUAUAGUUACUAACAGGUCAUGCUGAGGACUCUAUGGAGACUGCCAUCGUAAGAUGUGAGGAAGGUGGGGAUGACGUCAAAUCAGCACGGCCCUUACGUCCGGGGCCGCACACGUGUUACAAUGGGGGGUACAGAGGGCCGCUACCACGCAAGUGGAUGCCAAUCCCGAAAGCCUCUCUCAGUUCGGACUGGAGUCUGCAACCCGACUCCACGAAGCUGGAUUCGCUAGUAAUCGCGCAUCAGCCAUGGCGCGGUGAAUACGUUCCCGGGCCUUGUACACACCGCCCGUC